Molecule: ribosomal RNA, 515 nt
Filed under: uncultured bacterium
Lineage: Bacteria
Description: partial 16S ribosomal RNA
Rfam family: Bacterial small subunit ribosomal RNA
Source: RNAcentral
GAUGAACGCUGGCGGCGUGCCUAAUACAUGCAAGUCGAGCGAAUGGAUUAAGAGCUUGCUCUUAUGAAGUUAGCGGCGGACGGGUGAGUAACACGUGAGUAACCUGCCCAUAAGACUGGGAUAACUCCGGGAAACCGGGGCUAAUACCGGAUAACAUUUUGAACCGCAUGGUUCGAAAUUGAAAGGCGGCUUCGGCUGUCACUUCUGGAUGGACCCGCGUCGCAUUAGCUAGUUGGUGAGGUAACGGCUCACCAAGGCAACGAUGCGUAGCCGACCUGAGAGGGUGAUCGGUCACACUGGGACUGAGACACGGCCCAGACUCCUACGGGAGGCAGCAGUAGGGAAUCUUCCGCAAUGGACGAAAGUCUGACGGAGCAACGCCGCGUGAGUGAUGAAGGCUUUCGGGUCGUAAAACUCUGUUGUUAGGGAAGAACAAGUGCUAGUUGAAUAAGCUGACACCUUGACGGUACCUAACCAGAAAGCCACGGCUAACUACGUGCCAGCCGCCGCAGUAA